GACGAACGCUGGCGGCGUGCCUAAUACAUGCAAGUCGAACGAGAAACUUCGGUUUCUAGUGGCGAACGGGUGAGUAACACGUGGGCAACCUGCCCUCAAGCCUGGGAUAACUCCGGGAAACCGGGGCUAACACCAGAUAAUCUUCUUUUUCGCAUGAAAAAGAAGUAAAAGUUUACACUUGAGGAUGGGCCCGCGGUGCAUUAGCUAGUUGGUGGGGUAACGGCCUACCAAGGCAACGAUGCAUAGCCGACCUGAGAGGGUGACCGGCCACACUGGGACUGAGACACGGCCCAGACUCCUACGGGAGGCAGCAGUAGGGAAUUUUCCGCAAUGGGGGCAACCCUGACGGAGCAACGCCGCGUGAGUGAAGACGGCCUUCGGGUUGUAAAGCUCUGUUCUUGGGGAAGAAACAAAUGACGGUACCCAAGCAGAAAGCCCCGGCUAACUACGUGCCAGCCGCCGCAGUAACAC
Molecule: ribosomal RNA, 471 nt
Filed under: uncultured bacterium
Lineage: Bacteria
Description: bacterial SSU rRNA
Rfam family: Bacterial small subunit ribosomal RNA
Source: RNAcentral